Molecule: ribosomal RNA, 312 nt
Filed under: Bessa parallela
Lineage: Eukaryota; Metazoa; Arthropoda; Insecta; Diptera; Tachinidae
Description: partial 12S rRNA
Source: RNAcentral
UUAGGUAGUAAUAGUUAUGUUCUUGAAACUUAAAAAAUUUGGCGGUAUUUUAGUCUAUUCAGAGGAACCUGUUUUAUAAUCGAUAAUCCACGAUGGAUCUUACUUAAAUUUGUUAUCAGUUUAUAUACCGUCGUUAUUAAAAUAUUUUAUAAGAAUUUUUAAUUUUUUUAAUUUUUAAAUAAAAAUUAUAUCAGAUCAAGGUGUAGCUUAUAUUUAAGUAAAAAUGGGUUACAAUAAAUUUAUUUAAAUGAAUAUAAAUUUGAAAUGUUUAUUGAAAGUGGAUUUGAUAGUAAAAUUAUAUAGAUUAUUAAU